This 565-nucleotide long non-coding RNA is filed under the name Mytilus galloprovincialis (Mediterranean mussel). The record is from RNAcentral. Lineage: Eukaryota; Metazoa; Mollusca; Bivalvia; Mytilida; Mytilidae.
GUUGUUUGUAUACCAUGUAUACAGAAAAGAGAAAUGAUUUAUUUAUCCAAUGGAAAAUCUUCUCUGAAAGAUUGUUAACAUUUAAUUCCACUAACUGCGUGCUUAGGUAUGCCAUUAUGGGGGAUUUAUAUUGGCAGAGGAAGACUUAGAAAUAGGGUAGAACCAUUGACCAGUGGCAGGAAAACUAGCAAUCCAAGUCAACGCACCCCUAUGAAUAGAGUUCAAACUUGUAACCUGAGUGUUAACAACUAACUACUCUUUUAUGUUGUUGUAAAAAAAUGAAAACAAAAAAAUAGAAAUAUAAUUGUAUAUAUAGAAAAGAAAAAAAGAGUUUGUCUAUCUAAUAGAAUAUAAAAAGGAAUCAUUGGAAGUCUAUUUCAAUCUUAAAAUUUCAAUAUCUUCAUCGGAAUGUUGCAAUAAAAUAAUUACCCUACAUCUUAAUAGUUAAACAAUCUUCUUCUCUACAUUAGUUACAUGUAUCAUGCCUAUCACUUUUCUACAUUUUUUUCAAUCAUCAUUGUAAGCGUUUUUUUUUUUAAGGAAGGGAAAUAACUCCUAAAAUCAU